AAAUGAUUAAUUUGACAUCUUCUUGAUCAUAGCCUUUGAAUUGAUGAUUCUUCAUUUGUGAUAUAAGAUCAAAUUGAUUUUAAAAUCAUGGCAUGGAUGUGGACAACUAUGGCAAUAGACAUUAGAAGGAUCUGAUUGUACUCGUUACAACAAAGGCUAUAUGGGAUAAUUUUUAUCAACCUUAUUCCAAAGCUCGUGAUGUGACCC
This 207-nucleotide long non-coding RNA is filed under the name Spirodela polyrhiza (greater duckweed). RNAcentral's name for it is "long non-coding RNA (SPOL_LNC001195)". Lineage: Eukaryota; Viridiplantae; Streptophyta; Magnoliopsida; Alismatales; Araceae. The record is from RNAcentral.